CUUGCUUCAAUUGCCGGCGACCGGCGCACGGGUGAGUAACGCGUAUCCAACCUUCCGUACACUCAGGGAUAGCCUUUCGAAAGAAAGAUUAAUACCUGAUGGUAUGAUGAGAUUGCAUGAUAGCAUCAUUAAAGAUUUAUCGGUGUACGAUGGGGAUGCGUUCCAUUAGGUAGUAGGCGGGGUAACGGCCCACCUAGUCUUCGAUGGAUAGGGGUUCUGAGAGGACGAUCAGCCACAUUGGAACUGAGACACGGUCCAGACUCC
This 264-nucleotide ribosomal RNA is filed under the name uncultured Bacteroides sp. RNAcentral describes it as "partial 16S ribosomal RNA". It matches the Rfam family "Bacterial small subunit ribosomal RNA", at positions 75 to 339 of the family's 1533-position model. Lineage: Bacteria; Pseudomonadati; Bacteroidota; Bacteroidia; Bacteroidales; Bacteroidaceae. The record is from RNAcentral.